This is a long non-coding RNA of Oncorhynchus keta (chum salmon), 832 nucleotides long. RefSeq lists it as uncharacterized. The transcript has 5 exons. The record is from RefSeq and is a predicted model, not a curated record. Lineage: Eukaryota; Metazoa; Chordata; Actinopteri; Salmoniformes; Salmonidae.
CUGUGUUGCCCCUCUACCACCUCCUCCUCCCUCUCCAGGUCUCCUCCUGUCUUUACUGUGUUGCCCCUCUACCACCUCCUCCUCCCUCUCCAGGUCUCCUCCUGUCUUUACUGUGCUGCUGUCCUCUCCAGGUCUCCUCCUGUUUUUACUGUGUUGCCCCUCUACCACCUCCUCCUCCCUCUCCAGGUCUCCUCCUGUCUUUACUGUGUUGCCCCUCUACCACCUCCUCCUCCCUCUCCAGGUCUCCUCCUGUCUUUACUGUGUUGCCCCUCUACCACCUCCUCCUCCCUCUCCAGGUCUCCUCCUGUCUUUACUGUGUGGCCCCUCUACCACCUCCUCCUCCCUCUCCAGGUCUCCUCCUGUCUUUACUGUGUUGCCCCUCUACCACCUCCUCCUCCCUCUCCAGGUCUCCUCCUGUCUUUACUGUGUUGCCCCUCUACCACCUCCUCCUCCCUCUCCAGGUCUCCUCCUGUCUUUACUGUGCUGCUGUCCUCUCCAGGUCUCCUCCUGUCUUUACUGUGUUGCCCCUCUACCACCUCCUCCUCCCUCUCCAGGUCUCCUCCUGUCUUUACUGUGCUGCUGUCCUCUCCAGGUCUCCUCCUGUCUUUACUGUGUUGCCCCUCUACCACCUCCUCCUCCCUCUCCAGGUCUCCUCCUGUCUUUACUGUGCUGCUGUCCUCUCCAGGUCUCCUCCUGUCUUUACUGUGUUGCCCCUCUACCACCUCCUCCUCCCUCUCCAGGUCUCCUCCUGUCUUUACUGUGUUGCCCCUCUACCACCUCCUCCUCCCUCUCCAGGUCUCCUCCUGUCUUUACUGUGUUGCCCCUCUACCAC